RNAcentral lists this transfer-messenger RNA (344 nucleotides) under Candidatus Cloacimonadota bacterium. It matches the Rfam family "transfer-messenger RNA". Rfam says of the family: Bacterial tmRNA, also known as 10Sa RNA or SsrA, is named for its dual tRNA and mRNA-like properties. Its role is to liberate the mRNA from a stalled ribosome. To accomplish this part of the tmRNA is used as a reading frame that ends in a translation stop signal. RNAcentral also lists the same sequence under 1 other name. Lineage: Bacteria; Pseudomonadati; Candidatus Cloacimonadota. The record is from RNAcentral.
GGGGGUGCUUGGUUUCGACAGGGAUAGAGUGGGUUAUCAAUGCAAGUCGAGGAGUCAACCUAUCUCGUAAAAAUGGUUGAAAGCAAUAAUUGCAAACGAUAAUUACGCAUUAGCUGCAUAAAGCCAGCUACGGUCUUUCGAGGAUGGCAACAUGCCUUAAAAAGAUUGUCAUACAUUGUUGCUAUUCUAAACAAAUGUCUGGGUGUUUAGGAGAAAUUUUCAGGCUUUGUAAAGUAAAAUUUUGAUUGUUUUAUAUGCUUUCCGAGAAAUAAAAACAACUAAGCUUGUAGAUUUGGUAAUUGACAUAUCUUUGGACGCGGGUUCGAUCCCCGCCACCUCCACCA